GCCUGGAAAUAAGCUGCUAUACCAAAAAAAAUGGUUAUAAUGAUGUGAAUGACCACGGAUCCUUUGGAAUUGAAACAUUCUCCCAAACGCUGUUCCUGGUUGACUACUGACAUAAAGAAGACUAGAGCAAUGAAUGUCCACAGAUGCACUAAGCCUGGUGUUUGAUGAUGUCCGUGGUCUCCUCUGCACUCAAGGAGAAGAAGAUUUUGCCGAGAGUGUGACAAACUUAGAAAGGCAGGCCGGUUGUAACAAGAAGGAUGGCCACUGAUCCUCUGGAAUUGAAAUAUUCUCCCAUGUGAUGUUCCUGCUUGUCUUGUGGGGUUAAAUCUGCUGAGAAACACUGCAUGGCAUGCACCGUUUUAAAGGAGUGUGGGACCUCGUUUGGUUGUCAUGACCAAUGGUUUACCAGUCAGCGAGAGUCAUCAUUCAAGGAGGUGUUCUUGUUGUGUGAGACAAGCUGGACCUUCAGCAAUGCAUGUAGUUCUUCUCUCAAUGCAUGUUGAGAAAGGAAAAAAGAGCCUUGAGUUUCUCUUGGCAUGCUAUUCUAGGAGCCCCAUGUUUCAUUUUCAAAUGGAGUGUGAAAACACUUUUGUCCUGCUCUAAGGUAAGAGAGAUUCAUGCUUCUUUAAAAAUAUCACUGUAUCUGUGACUUAAGAUUUGAAUGGCCAUGUCCUCUGCUGGGCCCCUUCUGGAAACUUAGAGAAGUUUGA
Long non-coding RNA from Carlito syrichta (Philippine tarsier), 710 nucleotides. RefSeq lists it as uncharacterized. The transcript is spliced from 4 exons. Lineage: Eukaryota; Metazoa; Chordata; Mammalia; Primates; Tarsiidae. The record is from RefSeq and is a predicted model, not a curated record.